CCUACGGGUGGCAGCAGUGAGGAAUAUUUGGCAAUGGGGGCAACCCUGACCCAGCCAUGCCGCGUGAGUGAAGCAGGUCUUCGGAUUGUAAACCUCUUUCGGACGUGACGAUUAUGACGGUAUCGUCUAAAGAAGCACCGGCAAACUUCGUGCCAGCAGCCGCGGUAAUACGAAGGGUUCGAGCGUUGUUCGGAAUUACUGGUCGUAAAGGGAGUGUAGGCGGGUAUGUAAGAUAGAGGUGAAAUGCCGGGGCUCAACCCCGGAACUGCCAUUAUGACUAUGUAUCUAGAGUAAUGGAGAGGAUAGCGGAAUACCCAGUGUAGAGGUGAAAUUCGUAGAUAUUGGGUAGAACACCGGUGGCGAAGGCGGCCAUCUGGCCAUUUACUGACGGUGAGGCUCGAAAGCAUGGGGAUCAAACAGGAUUAGAUACCCUUGUAGUC
This 440-nucleotide ribosomal RNA is filed under the name uncultured bacterium. RNAcentral describes it as "partial 16S ribosomal RNA". It matches the Rfam family "Bacterial small subunit ribosomal RNA", at positions 338 to 795 of the family's 1533-position model. The record is from RNAcentral.